UAUGGGGGGGGCAAGCGUUGUUCGGAAUUACUGGGCGUAAAGGGCUCGUAGGUGGCCAACUAAGUCGGACGUGAAAUCCCUCGGCUUAACCGGGGAACUGCGUCCGAUACUGGUUGGCUUGAGUUUGGGAGAGGGAUGCGGAACUCCAGGUGUAGCGGUGAAAUGCGUAGAUAUCUGGAGGAACACCGGUGGCGAAGGCGGCAUCCUGGACCAACACUGACGCUGAGGAGCGAAAGCCAGGGGAGCAAACGGG
RNAcentral lists this ribosomal RNA (253 nucleotides) under uncultured bacterium. Its description in RNAcentral is "partial 16S ribosomal RNA". It matches the Rfam family "Bacterial small subunit ribosomal RNA", at positions 524 to 776 of the family's 1533-position model. The record is from RNAcentral.